Molecule: ribosomal RNA, 253 nt
Filed under: uncultured bacterium
Lineage: Bacteria
Description: partial 16S ribosomal RNA
Rfam family: Bacterial small subunit ribosomal RNA
Source: RNAcentral
GACGUAGGGCGCGAGCGUUGUCCGGAUUUAUUGGGCGUAAAGAGCUCGUAGGCGGCUUGUCGCGUCGACUGUGAAAACCCGAGGCUCAACCUCGGGCCUGCAGUCGAUACGGGCAAACUAGAGUACUGCAGGGGAGACUGGAAUUCCUGGUGUAGCGGUGAAAUGCGCAGAUAUCAGGAGGAACACCGGUGGCGAAGGCGGGUCUCUGGGCAGUAACUGACGCUGAGGAGCGAAAGCGUGGGGAGCGAACAGG